GAUGAACGCUGGCGGCGUGCCUAAUACAUGCAAGUCGAGCGAACAGAUAAGGAGCUUGCUCCUUUGACGUUAGCGGCGGACGGGUGAGUAACACGUGGGUAACCUACCUAUAAGACUGGAAUAACUCCGGGAAACCGGGGCUAAUGCCGGAUAACAUUUAGAACCGCAUGGUUCUAAAGUGAAAGAUGGUUUUGCUAUCACUUAUAGAUGGACCCGCGCCGUAUUAGCUAGUUGGUAAGGUAACGGCUUACCAAGGCAACGAUACGUAGCCGACCUGAGAGGGUGAUCGGCCACACUGGAACUGAGACACGGUCCAGACUCCUACGGGAGGCAGCAGUAGGGAAUCUUCCGCAAUGGGCGAAAGCCUGACGGAGCAACGCCGCGUGAGUGAUGAAGGUCUUCGGAUCGUAAAACUCUGUUAUUAGGGAAGAACAAAUGUGUAAGUAACUGUGCACGUCUUGACGGUACCUAAUCAGAAAGCCACGACUAACUACGUG
Molecule: ribosomal RNA, 497 nt
Filed under: uncultured bacterium
Lineage: Bacteria
Description: partial 16S ribosomal RNA
Rfam family: Bacterial small subunit ribosomal RNA
Source: RNAcentral